GGGAUGAAGAAAUUUUCCUUUACUCUUCUAGGUUCUUCUGGCUGUUCUAAGAAUUAAAUUGACAGAUUAAUAGGAGAAAAUCAGAUUUAAUUAACUUUGUACACAUGGGAACUCCACAUACAUGAGAAGUUCAGAGACAGAAAGGUAAAGCGAGGUACUUAUGUCAUCUUGAGCCAAUGGGACAGGGACCUGGGGCUUCAAGGGGGAGGAGGGUAUUUAUGGGAUGAUUAGAAGAGCAGAUGUUCUCAAAUUAGAGGUUUGCCCUGCCAUACAGAUGGAUCGUAAGAACUGGUUUCUGGUAAUAAGCCUUAAAGUUUCCUGAGCCUGCAGGGUCUUGAUUGACUUCAGCUCAAAAUAUUCCAGAUGUCAAAGCGGCACGUCUUGCGGAGGCCUCUUCGGAAGCCCUUCAGUUCCGCAUUUGAGCUUCAUGAGGAGUUUCCAGUCCAGAAGUUGGGUUGGUGGAGUGCUCCAUCUCACUGAGCCAGUCUCUUGGGUCGGAGAAUAGGUCUGUGCAAUUAAGCAGCGUGUCCAAUUUCAGGAGGCAGUGAUGCACGUGGGCUCCCAAAGUUAGGUCUGUGGUGCAAGCAAUCAAGUAUUUAAUAAGAGGCAUUUCUGUGGAAACAAAAGAAAGACAAUGGUUAAUGAUUGGAGCAGACUAUAAUCCCAGUUUCUGAGUUCUGAAGGUAGCCAGUCAAGGAGAUUUCUAGAUGUCUGGCUUGAAGCACCUUCAGAUGGAGUGAGGGCAGGCAGCGGCAAUCUGACAGAUUUUCCUAGUUUGCAGUUUGAGUGUCUCUGGUGAUCUUUCUGUGUGGCCCAUGUGGCAACAGGGAUAAAGAUCAUCCAUACCUAAGCCAUUGCGGUGAUUUCUCUGUGAUUCAUAUCAAGUUGUUCAGCUUUAAUUUGCAGGGCUUCAGGAAAAACGGCAGUUUUAGUUGUCAGUGAUUCCAAGUCAAAAGGGAGGAGAAAAUCAGAUCAUGUUAGUUUGGAGGGUUGUAGCCAGGUAUUGGAGGAAACUAGAAGAAUUCAGGAUCCAGUCCAGUUUACAGGUGGAAAACAAAACCUCAAAGACAAUUAGGAGAGCUAGAAUCUAAUAUCCACAAGAGUGUAUUAUAAUUUCUACUGAAACAAUAUUUUUCUCUCUCUUUUUUACUAACUACACAUUUUAUACUAAGAUAUUUCCCUUAUUAUUUUAGUAGUUUUAAUUACAUAUAUUAAUUAGAAUUUUUUAACCCUCAGAAACCUUAAUUUCUAGUAAAAAUUAAGACGUUAGCAAUUGUGAACUGUCUGCCGUACCGGCAUUCUUUAGAUUGGCAAAUUUAUGAAUUCAUUUAAUAAUUUCUAGAAACAUAUGCUUCUUCAUAGUACAAUCUUUUCAAUAAAGCACAAGACAUGUUUACUAACAGACCCAAAUUUAACUUCAUUUUCCCUGUAAUAAGAGGUCAAAAGUAGGUAAACUUAGACUUAUUCAGCAAUUAACGUUUUAGUAUUUUGUCUUAUUUGGAGACGAUCUAGACCUUCGCUGAAUUCCCAUCAUUUAACUUAGCAAAACUCUAGGGUUUCAAAUUACCAAAAAGAUUUUGGAAGCUAUUUUUAAGUACAUACACCAUAACACACAAUUAUUGUUAAAAAGUUCACCUAAAACCCUUUUUAUUUUACUUACAUCUAUUUUGUUUACUUGUUCCCAAUAAUUAUUUAGGUUUAGAGUACCUUCCAAAACUUCAUGAGACAUUAGACAAAGUCAGCCAUCAAUUUUUUUGCUGCCAAAUUUUGUAACAGAGAUAACAGGAAUUUGUUUGACUUUGAGUCAACCUAGGUAGAACAAAAGUUUUUUGUUUAAUGCUGAUAACUGUAAAGACAGCAAACAAAUUAGCGUCUAUAAAGAUUAGUGAAUAUUUUCCUAGAUCACCUGAUCCUGAAAUUCAUUUGUGUUAAUUUCUAUUAUAUUUUUGAAAGUAUACUCAAUUUAUAUGGUGCUUAUUUAUUUUUAAGCCAAUUAAAUAGAACUCUUUUAGAAAUUAUACCACCCAGAAGUAGAAAAAUAUCACAAAUAUAUAAUAUACAUCCAUAGGCAUACAUAGAUACAUAGGCAGAUGCAAGCAGAGACCUUAAAUAGUUUUCAUUUAAAAAUUUUAGCCAUGAGAUGGGUAUAGUAAUGCAAAACUCGCUAUUUAUAAAAGAACAGUUGAAACCAAACUGUGUUUCUGGCAGAUGGAAUAAACUAAGGUUACCUGCUUAGAUGGCUAAAGCAUUUUUUUCUACUGAUACUUGUGGAGAAGAAACUUCUGAUGCUAGAUUUAGGGCAGAAGUGCUUCUAUAGCCAUUUGCUUCCUUUUCCUUUUUUCCCCUCAGUCUUAGGAAUUGGGGAUGGUUGAGAUAAGUUCCCAGAGAGGUUACAAGCCUUUUGAGGUAAAUAGGGGAGGUUUUUGGGAUUGGUGAAAGGAAAUGGGUAGAAUCUGAACUGCCUCUAGAGCUUAUUUCCAGUUUUGCAAAGAUUUUGUAAGAUAAGGACAGUUGCUCUCAAUUCCUCAGAAAUUGGGUUAUAACUUCCAUGACAACAUAGAUUUAUCUACUGUCCAACCACAUCAUCCCUAAUUUGCCUCUUUCCCUCUGGGGACAUAGUUUCAUUUUAACUUAGGGAAGAAGGCCUUUAAAAAAUUCCUGUCAGGCUCUGAAUAUGAGCUUCUAAUUUGACCAUAAAGCUACUAAAAACAAAAUCCUUCUAAAUAUCUUGCCAGUUUUCAGCUGGGGUACACAGUAAAUAUUUCUGGCAACAUUAAACAACUCCAUGAACCCAAGAGGUGUUCUCAAAGGUUAAUACCUUCUCAAGAUCCAGAGUCUCUCCCAAAGACAGCCAAAAGAAAGAACUGACAGCCCACGUGUCCUAGGCAGGCAGAAAGCCAAGCCAAGCCCUUAGGACACAAAAUGAGACGAGCAAGAAGGCAAUAGCGAUCCCUGGGAGAGAAAGGGUCAGUAACCAAUGGGUCUGGCUUUGGAAAGGAAGGGACAACAUGAAAUAUUAUUUUCCUCUCUUGACUGGGCACUACAGAAUGGCUAUUGAUCUUUCUAAUUCUCUUCUACAUUUGGUAGGAUCUUCUGAAAAUGGACGAAAGAAAGGCUUUAUAAUUCAAAAGAUCUGUGGUCCCAGGGACACGAAUUCCUUGUGUGGGCGUCUAGGACACAGCCACAAUAGACACUGCACAGGAAGACCUGAAGCUGGCAGAGCCUUAUUCCAGAGUCCAGCAAAGCAAGUCCUACCGCCUUUUCCAGGAAUGUGGAAUGCCUCCAGUCACAAACUCGCUAAUUUGUGACACUGGGCAGGCACUUCUGGAAUGGGGUUUUUCCAGCACUAACAAGCAACGAAGGCUGAGAUGACAAAGGUACCCUUACAGGACCCCUUAUGACAAACUCCCCUGAGAGCUGACACAGCCAGACAAAGAGUGUCCCAGAACCCCAGUCUAUUUGACUGGUCACCAGAUGUACCCCGGUAAAUGCACCUUCUGGAUUUUCUCAUUGGUCAAAAAGCUAAGCUCUGAGGACAUAUAACAAGAGGGAAGGAAAAACCUCAUACCAUGAGGCAGCUCAGCAGGGAAACCCUUCCAGACGGCAAUAGCCAUGAGCUGACUUUGCCUGUGGAAUUUCCUUCUUAUGACAAACGACACAAUAGAGAAAAACACAGACCAUCUCUGGGAGGAAAUGGAUCAGGAGCACUCCACCAGGUUCACCAGAGUUGCUUAAGUUCAAGAAACUAGUUUCACAAAUAUUUUCUCCUGCUAAUCUAAAUUUUAGAAAGAGAAAAAAAGACUCUUCCCACUUUUGCUCCCAAUAGACCUUGCAGCAGGCAGAGAUCUGGGAGUCUGAUGGGGCAAGAACUCUUUCCCUCUACCAGAGCCUGUAGAUGUCCCAGGACCUCUCAGCUGCAGAGUCUAGCAGGGCAAAGAGUCCAGCCAGGGAAGUUUGUCUUACUGACUAUGCCAACUGUGGGGGAGGAAGAAAAUUUCCCUCUACCAUUCUAGGUUCUUCUGGCUGGCCUCAAAAUUAAAUUGACAGGAAACAGAUUAAUGGGAUAAAAUAAAAUUUAAUUAAUUUUGUAUGUAUGGGAACCCCACGUACAUGACAGAGUCAGAGACUCUACAUACACAAGAGGUUCAGAGACAGAAAGGUAAAGUGAGGUAUUUAUGCCACCUCGAGACAAGGAGUGGGACAGGGGCCUGAGGCUUCAGAGGGGAGAAGGGUAAUUCAUGGGAAGAGCAGAUGUUCACUAAUUAGAGGUUUGCCUUGCCAUACAGAGAGAUCACAAAAAUUUAUUUCUGGUAACGUCUUAUUAUGGGCAAGGUCCCCACUUUCAAUUCUUUAAGGGAGAGGUAAAAGUUUCCUGAGCCUGCAGGGUCUUGAUUGCCUUUAGCUCAAAAUAUUCCAGAUGGCCAAGUGGCACAUCUUGUUCUGAGCCCCUUUUUAUCCCCACUUCACAGAUAAGGAAACAGAUGUGGGAAGUUAAAUAAACAACUUCUCACACAGCUAGCAAGUGGUGGAGUGGGGAUGCUGGCAGAGUGGAUUCCAGACUCAGGUGCUGAGCCACCAUGCUCUGUGCCACCCCAGGUAUAGAAGGUGGUGGAGAAGGCCAGAAGGAGGGGGCUGGAUUAGGUGGUUGGCAAAGUGCUUUGUGACUAUAAAGUACUGUACAGACACAAGUUGUUACAGAAAGAGGCAAGGGUCCCCAGAGAGGGAUAAAGUGGUAUUCAGCUCAGAGCCAAAGCAAGGAAGAUCUCUAGGGUGAGAUAGCAUUUGCUUUGGAUUUGGACCCGUGUUCCUGGAGAGGAAUGAGGAACUUCCAGGGAGUGUGUGGGGUGGUGGUAGAGAAGGGUUUCCUCUAGCCCUCCCCCGUUAGCCUCCCCACAGGAUGGCUGAUCAGAUUAGCUAAUUGGCACCUUAGCCCAGAUGAAGUGAUCAGGACUGUAGAAAGCCUUGGUGUCCUACAGCCAUGAUCCUGGCCGCAGAGAGCAGGCUGGGUGGGGGCCACUCCUAGGGGAUAAAGGGAGGCACCGAAGGCUGGUAGCAGGGUCGGGGUGAGACAGCCUGAGUUCAAAUCCAGAUCUUCUACCACGCCCUGGGUAUGAGGCCAUGGGCAGGCCACACAACAUCUCUAUCUCAGUUUCCUCAUCUGAAGAAUGUGAAUGAUAAUAAUGGUAUGUCCUUCAGAGGUUUGUGCAAAUUUAAUAUGCUAAUCUGUGUAAAGUGUUUAUUACUCUAAAGUCUGGCACACAGUAAGCACUCAAUACAAGAGAGCUAGCUAUUGUUAUUUCUCUUAUUAUAAUCCCAGGGUACCUGAUUGGCAUCAUGCUUCAGGGAGGAACGGGCUUAGAAGAAAGCACACACACACAUCCACUUCAAUCUGCUUUCAGAUUUGCGCAACCUGACCACAGAAACAUCACACUUCAAGCCCAGGUAACUAGAGGCAACCAAAUAGUGUCCAGUCAGCCAAUGGCCACUGAGCAACCAAGGGAGCCCAGAACCCUGUACGAGGCAACUGUGAUAUAUAUGGAAGAAAAGAGCAGCCCAAGCCUCCUGACUGUGUCUGGGUCACCGUCCUCAAAAAGUCCGGUGGAAAAAGAAUGAUGCAGGCCAGAAGGCCGGGGGGCUGGGGUGGUGGGAGAGAGAGAGAGAGAGAACGUGUGGAAGAGCCUGGUUGCCCUACAGAGCCAGGGAAGGAAAUCAGGUGGAAGGGAGCCCCCAGGUCACACACCUGAAGGUGUCACUGCCAACUCCCCAGAGGCCAAAAAGCCCGGGUCAGCCAGUCAAGAAGUGGAUUUUCUUCUAAACCUGAAGCCCCAGAAUGAAACCACCCAGUUCCCGCCUCUUUUCCACCAGCUGUGUCAGAGACUCUAUCAGUGGAACCUCAUCUUCAGCCUUCAUUUCCAAUGUUGGUUUUGUUUAAUAUGGCAAGGCAGGAAAAUGUUCGUGUAGGGAUCUGCCCUAGGUUAAGUUGUGCUGAAGGACGGAGGAGAGAAUUCAAGAAGCGGCCCAAACCGCCACCAACAGCUCUGCAACCGAGGUGGGGCCUUCGCCAAUUAGGAUUGGAACGGUGGGGUUCAAAUAAAAAACUUAUGUGAAAGCCCGACCUGGUCCAUCGGAACCACAUAAACGCAUUUGUUCUUUCCCUGUGGUAGAUGUUGCCCUUUGUGGGAGGGCGGAGGAGGGAGAAGUAGCUUCCAUAUUGAGCUGGUACAUUUUGUGACUGCCCCGGAGCGUCAUCACCUCCACUCCUGCCAUCCCAGUCCAAGACCUCUCCUCCUGAAUGGCCUCCCUGCUUGCUCUCUUCGCUCCUAGAGUUUAUUCUCCACACAACAGCCAGAGUGAUGUUUUUAAACACAGAAAUUGUAUCUUGUCACUUUCCUGUUGAAAACUCUUCAAACGCCCCCAUCACACUUGAGAGUGGAAUUCAAACACUUUACCACGGGUCACGGGGCCCUAACAGGACUCGGCCCUGCUGACUUCCUCCCGCGGCCCACGCGGCUGCAGCCACAGUGACCUUUGGUCCUAGCUGUUCCCUCGGCCUGGAAGACCCUCUGCUCUGCUCACCCGCCUUGGAGGUCUCGUCUGACGGCCCAAACUACAUGAGCGACUCCCACCAUAAUUCUAUUCCGUUUGCCUCAUGGCAAAUGGGAACGACACUAACUCCACCAGUCCUGUGUAUCAUUUGUUGACUUGUUUACUGCCUGUCUUCCCGCAACAAUACAAGCCCUGAAGGGAGGGCAGGGUGUCUGUCUGCGCCAUCGCGGCACCCCAGCGCCAAGAGCCCGGCACGUGGCGGACCUCCAGCGUCCGCGGGGGAAAUGGCCUCUUCAAAUCCUGGCCGUGCUGCGAGGCGCGAGAGGAGCUUCCGUCGGGCUCAGGGUGGGAGCCUUCCCUCCCAGGGCACCUCGCUCCUUCGCCCCCCGCCCUUCUCAUACCGAAGGCCCCUCCAGGCAGGACGGGCGGUCUUCCAGGCCCUUCUCAGAGACUGGGGCCGCCCUCAAGUCCUCCCACACCAGGGGCUCAGAGACGCCGCCCUUUUCCUAAAACAGGCCCCGCCGGGUGCGCGCAACGCCCCCUCAGGCCCCCAGUCAGGGGCAGAGCGGGGUCCCGCGCUGUCCACGGGAAAACGGGGCGGGCCCCCCGGCCCAUCAGUACUAUCGGUUCAGCGCCCUCACUCUGUCCCCUUCCCUGGCUAGGGACCCCCCAGGGCCGUGUGGGGGGAGCAGGAGGCUCCAGGCGUCAAGGGCAACGAGGACACUCAGGCCCGAAUCCGGGACGGGCCCACGUCGCGCAGCAGCAGAACCUUUCUUCACCACGGCCUCGUCUGCCGGCCGGUCGGCUUUGGAGG
RNAcentral lists this long non-coding RNA (7360 nucleotides) under Equus asinus (donkey). RNAcentral describes it as "lncRNA (ENSEASG00005027380.1)". The record is from RNAcentral. Lineage: Eukaryota; Metazoa; Chordata; Mammalia; Perissodactyla; Equidae.